Molecule: ribosomal RNA, 307 nt
Filed under: uncultured bacterium
Lineage: Bacteria
Description: partial 16S ribosomal RNA
Rfam family: Bacterial small subunit ribosomal RNA
Source: RNAcentral
AGACAGCAGUCGCCACGGGAAUACGAAGGGGGCUAGCGUUGCUCGGAAUUACUGGGCGUAAAGGGAGCGUAGGCGGAUGUUUAAGUCAGAGGUGAAAGCCCAGGGCUCAACCUUGGAACUGCCUUUGAUACUGGACAUCUUGAGUGUGGGAGAGGUAAGCGGAACUCCGAGUGUAGAGGUGAAAUUCGUAGAUAUUCGGAAGAACACCAGUGGCGAAGGCGGCUUACUGGCCCAUUACUGACGCUGAGGCUCGAAAGCGUGGGGAGCAAAUGGGAUUAGAUACCCGUGUAGUCCCUGUCUCUUAUAC